CGACAAAGUUCAAAUCGUGGAUCCGAGUCGUAUCACAAGUAUGGAGGUGAUGAUCACUUUCGUUUGGCAAAACGAAUGGAAGCUAGCAGUGGUGUAGUGCCCAGUGAUGUUCAAAUAUACCUGAGGGGGCACAGAGGACCAGAUCCUGCAAAUCCAGAUGUGUUGUGUAGCCAAAAGGCAACAGAUCGUCUGGCUGCAUAUGCUGAGGCGAUGUCUAGUCAGCACAGAUCGGA
Molecule: long non-coding RNA, 233 nt
Organism: Zea mays
Lineage: Eukaryota; Viridiplantae; Streptophyta; Magnoliopsida; Poales; Poaceae
Exons: 3
Source: RefSeq, a predicted model, not a curated record